GACGAACGCUGGCGGCGUGCUUAACACAUGCAAGUCGAACGGGCCCGCCCCUGUUUUUGGGGGUGGGUUGAGUGGCGAACGGGUGAGUAUCACGUGAGUAACCUGCCCCCUGCUCCUGGAUAACUGCUUGAAAGGGCGGCUAAUACGGGGUGUGCCGGCUGGUCCGCAUGGGCCUGGUCGGGAUAGUUUCAUCUUCGGGUGUUUCGGUGGGGGAUGGGCUCGCGGCCUAUCAGCUUGUUGGUGGGGUGAUGGCCCACCAAGGCGGUGACGGGUAGCCGGCCUGAGAGGGUGGGCGGCCACCCUGGGACUGAGCCACGGCCCCGACUCCUGCGGGAGGCAGCAGUGGGGGGUAUUGCACAAUGGGCGGAAGCCUGAUGCAGCGACGUCGCGUGAGGGAUGGAGGCCUUCGGGUUGUGAACCUCUUUCUCCGGUGGUGAAGGCCCUGUCCGUUGCGGCGGGGUUGACGGUAGCCGGGUAUGAAGCGCCGGCUAACUACGUG
Molecule: ribosomal RNA, 499 nt
Filed under: uncultured bacterium
Lineage: Bacteria
Description: partial 16S ribosomal RNA
Rfam family: Bacterial small subunit ribosomal RNA
Source: RNAcentral